Molecule: small nuclear RNA, 192 nt
Filed under: Carassius auratus (goldfish)
Lineage: Eukaryota; Metazoa; Chordata; Actinopteri; Cypriniformes; Cyprinidae
Description: U2 spliceosomal RNA (ENSCARG00000032944.1)
Rfam family: U2 spliceosomal RNA
About the family: U2 is a small nuclear RNA (snRNA) component of the spliceosome (involved in pre-mRNA splicing). Complementary binding between U2 snRNA (in an area lying towards the 5' end but 3' to hairpin I) and the branchpoint sequence (BPS) of the intron results the bulging out of an unpaired adenosine, on the BPS, which initiates a nucleophilic attack at the intronic 5' splice site, thus starting the first of two transesterification reactions that mediate splicing.
Source: Rfam by way of RNAcentral
UCCACUUUUGAUUAAAUAUCAAUAAAAACCCGUCAAAAAAAAUUUCUUAUCAGUUUAAUAUCUGAUACGUCCCCCAUCCGGGGACUACAUAUUAAAUGGAUUUUUAGAUCAUGGAGCUGGAGCCGGGGCUUGCUCCAUCCACUCCACGCAUCAGCCUGGUAUUGCAGUGUCUCCAGGAACGGUGUGCUUCCC